Molecule: ribosomal RNA, 254 nt
Filed under: uncultured bacterium
Lineage: Bacteria
Description: partial 16S ribosomal RNA
Rfam family: Bacterial small subunit ribosomal RNA
Source: RNAcentral
UACGGGGGGAGCAAGCGUUGUUCGGAUUUACUGGGCGUAAAGGGCGCGUAGGCGGCCAGCACAAGUCAGUUGUGAAAUCUCCGAGCUUAACUCGGAAAGGUCAACUGAUACUGCGGGGCUAGGGUGCAGAAGGGGCAACUGGAAUUCUCGGUGUAGCGGUGAAAUGCGUAGAUAUCGAGAGGAACACCUGCGGCGAAGGCGGGUUGCUGGGCUGACACUGACGCUGAGGCGCGAAAGCUAGGGGAGCGAACGGG